Schizosaccharomyces pombe (fission yeast) is the source of this 764-nucleotide non-coding RNA. Lineage: Eukaryota; Fungi; Ascomycota; Schizosaccharomycetes; Schizosaccharomycetales; Schizosaccharomycetaceae. The record is from the annotation of a GenBank genome assembly.
CGCGCACGUUCAAGCCUUUGCAAAAUAGCGGAUUCAUUUUCCGUACCGCGACCUCUAAGUCGAACUUCCAAUUGCUCAAUGCUAGGCGGUGCUAAGAAGACGUAUUGGGCAUCAAUUGGGCUAGCCUUUACUUGAAGAACGCCUUGUAGAUCAAUGUCUAAGAUAGCCUUCUUGUUAACAGCUUCCAAUUCUUGAAUAGCCAUAAUAGAUGUACCAUACAUGUUACCAGAGAAGACAGCCCAUUCAACAAACUUCUCUUCCGCGACAAGCUUUUGAAACUCUUCUUUGGUAACGAAAUGAUAAUCUAUCCCAUCUUUUUCGCCUGCACGAGGAGUUCUGGUAGUGUGAGAAACGCUAAAUCCAAGUUUAUCGCCGUGAUCUUUUAAUAAUCGCUUUAAUAACGUAGAUUUUCCCACACCAGAAGGACCGAAAACUACAACGGGUUUCAGUUUCAACGUGACCAAUUUAGAGGCCACCGACGAUGAAAGUUGGGGAGUCAUGGUAAAAAGGAUUGUAAAAUUUUUUGCGAAAAACGCAAAAUUUCAAACACGAAGAGUCCUAAAACUAAGAUUUCAGCUCUUACCUCCAAGUCAAGGCUUAUGGGUUUUAGACCAAAGCAAGUCACAUAGAAGAUCUGUUAAUUUAUAGUAAGCACUUUUGUGACUUGACCAUUAAAAAACGGCUGUUUGCUAAAGUACCUUGGACUACCUUAGAAAAAAAAAUUUUUUACAUUUACACCUUUAUGAUUGCUAGUUGUACUCAAU